AGUGAAUGCUGGCGGUAGGCCUAACACAUGCAAGUCGAACGGCAGCACAGUAAGAGCUUGCUCUUACGGGUGGCGAGUGGCGGACGGGUGAGGAGUACAUCGGAAUCUACUUUUUCGUGGGGGAUAACGUAGGGAAACUUACGCUAAUACCGCAUACGACCUACGGGUGAAAGCAGGGGAUCUUCGGACCUUGCGCGAUUGAAUGAGCCGAUGUCGGAUUAGCUAGUUGGCGGGGUAAAGGCCCACCAAGGCGACGAUCCGUAGCUGGUCUGAGAGGAUGAUCAGCCACACUGGAACUGAGACACGGUCCAGACUCCUACGGGAGGCAGCAGUGGGGAAUAUUGGACAAUGGGCGCAAGCCUGAUCCAGCCAUACCGCGUGGGUGAAGAAGGCCUUCGGGUUGUAAAGCCCUUUUGUUGGGAAAGAAAAGCAGCAGGUUAAUACCCCGCUGUUCUGACGGUACCCAAAGAAUAAGCACCGGCUAACUUCGUG
Molecule: ribosomal RNA, 492 nt
Filed under: uncultured bacterium
Lineage: Bacteria
Description: partial 16S ribosomal RNA
Rfam family: Bacterial small subunit ribosomal RNA
Source: RNAcentral